GACGAACGCUGGCGGCGUGCUUAACACAUGCAAGUCGAACGGUAAGGCCCUUCUUUUGUUGGGUGCUCGAGUAGCGAACGGGUAAGUAACACGUGAGUAACCUGCCCUUUACUUUUGGAUAACUUCAGGUAACUGGGGCUAAUACCGUAUACUAGCUCCUGCUGCAUGGUGGUGGUUGGCUAGUUUCGUCGGUGGGGGAUGGACUCGCGGCUUAUCAGCUUGUUGGUGGGGUAGUGGCUUACAAAGGCUUUGACGGGUAGCCGGCCUGAGAGGGUGACCGGCAACAUGGGGACUGGGAUACGGCCAAGACUCUUACGGGAGGAAGAAGUGGGGAAUAUUGAAAAAUGGGCGGAAGCCGGAUGCAGAAAGGCGGGGGGCGGGAUGACGGCCUUCGGGUGUUAAACCGCUUUAGCAGGGGACGAAGCGUGAGUGACGGUAAUGGGUAAAGAAGCACCGGCUAACUACGUG
Molecule: ribosomal RNA, 468 nt
Filed under: uncultured bacterium
Lineage: Bacteria
Description: partial 16S ribosomal RNA
Rfam family: Bacterial small subunit ribosomal RNA
Source: RNAcentral